AACUUUUAACAACGGAUCUCUUGGUUCUCGCAUCGAUGAAGAACGUAGCAAAGUGCGAUAACUAGUGUGAAUUGCAUAUUCAGUGAAUCAUCGAGUCUUUGAACGCAACUUGCGCUCAAUGGUAUUCCAUUGAGCACGCCUGUUUCAGUAUCAAAA
This 156-nucleotide ribosomal RNA is filed under the name Mucor hiemalis. RNAcentral's name for it is "5.8S ribosomal RNA". It matches the Rfam family "5.8S ribosomal RNA". Rfam says of the family: 5.8S ribosomal RNA (5.8S rRNA) is a component of the large subunit of the eukaryotic ribosome. It is transcribed by RNA polymerase I as part of the 45S precursor that also contains 18S and 28S rRNA. The record is from RNAcentral. Lineage: Eukaryota; Fungi; Mucoromycota; Mucoromycetes; Mucorales; Mucoraceae.